GAAAUGCGAUAAGUAAUGUGAAUUGUAGAAUUCAGUGAAUCAUCGAAUCUUUGAACGCACCUUGCGCUCCUUGGUAUUCCUUGGAGCAUGCCUGUUUGAGUAUCAUGAAAUCUUCAAAGUAAAUCUUUUGUUAACUCAAUUGGUUUCUACUUUGGUAUUGGAGGUCUUUGCAGCUUCACACCUGCUCCUCUUUGUUCAUUAGCUGGAUGUCAGUGUUAUGCUUGGUUCCACUCGGCGUGAUAAGUUAUCUAUCGCUGAGGACACUGUAAAAGGUGGCCAAGGUAAAUGCAGUUGAACCGCUUCUAAUAGUCCAUUGACUUGGACAAUACUUUUAUGAUCUGAUCUCAAAUCAGGUAGGACUACCCGCUGAACUUAAGC
This 378-nucleotide unclassified non-coding RNA is filed under the name plant metagenome. Its description in RNAcentral is "partial contains 5.8S ribosomal RNA, internal transcribed spacer 2, and large subunit ribosomal RNA". The stretch from base 1 to 105 matches the Rfam family "5.8S ribosomal RNA", at positions 50 to 154 of the family's 154-position model. The record is from RNAcentral.